ACAUGCAGUCGAGGGAGAAGCCUUCGGGCUGAAACCGGCGCACGGGUGCGUAACGCGUAUACAAUCUGCCUUUCACAUAGGGAUAGCCCGAAGAAAUUUGGAUUAAUACCUAAUGGUAUAUAGGAGCGGCAUCGUUUUUAUAUUAAAGCUACGGUGGUGAAAGAUGAGUAUGCGUUCUAUUAGCUAGUUGGAGAGGUAACGGCUCCCCAAGGCGACGAUAGAUAGGGGUUCUGAGAGGGAUGUCCCCCACACUGGUACUGAGAUACGGACCAGACUCCUACGGGAGGCAGCAGUGAGGAAUAUUGGACAAUGGUCGGAAGACUGAUCCAGCCAUGCCGCGUGCAGGAUGAAGGUCCUAUGGAUUGUAAACUGCUUUUGUAAGGGAAGAAUAAGGGGUACGUGUACUUUGAUGACGGUACCUUACGAAUAAGCAUCGGCUAACUCCGUGCCAGCAGCCGCGGUAAUACGGAGGAUGCGAGCGUUAUCCGGAAUCAUUGGGUUUAAAGGGUCCGUAGGCGGGCUAAUAAGUCAGAGGUGAAAGCGUUCAGCUCAACUGAGCAACUGCCUUUGAAGCUGUUAGUCUUGAAUGAUUGUGAAGUAGUUGGAAUGUGUAGUGUAGCGGUGAAAUGCUUAGAUAUUACACAGAACACCGAUAGCGAAGGCAUAUUACUAACAAUUUAUUGACGCUGAUGGACGAAAGCGUGGGGAGCGAACAGGAUUAGAUAACCUGGUAGUCCACGCUGUAAACGAUGGAUACUAGCUGUUUGGAGCAAUCUGAGUGGCUAAGCGAAAGUGAUAAGUAUCC
This 805-nucleotide ribosomal RNA is filed under the name uncultured Bacteroidota bacterium. RNAcentral's name for it is "bacterial SSU rRNA". It matches the Rfam family "Bacterial small subunit ribosomal RNA", at positions 53 to 869 of the family's 1533-position model. Lineage: Bacteria; Pseudomonadati; Bacteroidota. The record is from RNAcentral.